RNAcentral lists this transfer RNA (75 nucleotides) under Bacteriovorax sp. RNAcentral describes it as "tRNA-Asn". It matches the Rfam family "tRNA". Rfam says of the family: Transfer RNA (tRNA) molecules are approximately 80 nucleotides in length. Their secondary structure includes four short double-helical elements and three loops (D, anti-codon, and T loops). Lineage: Bacteria; Pseudomonadati; Bdellovibrionota; Bacteriovoracia; Bacteriovoracales; Bacteriovoracaceae. The record is from RNAcentral.
UGGGAAGUGGCGCAGUGGUAGCGCAGUAGACUGUUAAUCUAUUGGUCGUGGGUUCGAUCCCCUCCUUCCCAGCCA